This is a long non-coding RNA of Tachyglossus aculeatus (Australian echidna), 491 nucleotides long. RefSeq lists it as uncharacterized. Lineage: Eukaryota; Metazoa; Chordata; Mammalia; Monotremata; Tachyglossidae. The record is from RefSeq and is a predicted model, not a curated record. The transcript is spliced from 3 exons.
CGGCCCGGCCCGGCCCGGCAACGGAGGCGGGAGAUCAAUCAGUCAAGCGAUCGUUGCUAUUUAUCGAGCGCAAACUGUGGGCCGUGGACUGUACCGAGCACUUGGGAGAGUUUGAGGCUACCGAGUUGGUAGACUUGAACGUGUGCUGCUAUCUGACCAAGAGGCUGCUUUGAAUGGCUCUGAAUGCAAACAUGAAUCACGCCUCUAAAAGGGAGAAAGGAUUCUGCUGCUGUUACGGGAGGCAUUCCGCAAUAAGGGGAGUCGUGUGAAGAAGACUCAGGAGAGCUUUCGAGUGAAUUUCACAAGACAGACAAACCUACAGACAAGGAAGUGUUACCUGAAGUUACAUAUAUGUUGUAAAAUGACUAGACGAAUCCUAACUUGUUGGAUUUCAACAAUAUUACACCAAAAGGGUGUGGUGUGAUGAGAUAACACACACCUUUGGAUUCUUUGUCCGCCAUGAAGUGAAGUAGAAAAGGAUUAUCCCAAGA